This 341-nucleotide long non-coding RNA is filed under the name Ictidomys tridecemlineatus (thirteen-lined ground squirrel). Its description in RNAcentral is "lncRNA (ENSSTOG00000031501.1)". The record is from RNAcentral. Lineage: Eukaryota; Metazoa; Chordata; Mammalia; Rodentia; Sciuridae.
AAGGCCUGCUUACUUUCAAUUUUUGGAUGCUGACAGCAAGAACAGACCAGAUUUCUGUCUACUUCUUUAGAAAUUCUCAAUUUACAGCUGAGCAUCAACAGAAGUUUCAAAUACUACUGAGAAGAUGUGGUGGCAUUUGCUACAGUGUACAAAUUGUGUUUGCUGCUUCCUUCUUAACUUGCCAAUGAAUUUCAAGAAUCAUAUGCUUGAGAUUUGAACAAAUUACCAGUAGAUGGUGACCUUGCAACUUUUCCACAGCUAGGACUUCUAGACUGGCUUGACUUUUCUAAGACUAUAAACUUUAUGCUACCAAAUAUUGAAAAAUUAUAUGUUGAAUGGUU